GAUAGCAUUCGACACGCUGUCAUGUUCCGCCACUUUGUAUUUAAACGCUCGUGGAAAUAGGUAUUAUUGUCAUUUUGUCGGAAGCCACGUACUACGCCAUAGCUCCAGGAGACAAUGGUUCGAGUAACGCUUGUCGUGAUCGCUGUGGUGCUGAUGGCUGCCAUAGCCAGUGUGCAAUGUGCCGAUUGGUAAGCAUAAAUGUAUGUAAUAUUAAAUAU
This is a long non-coding RNA of Cydia fagiglandana, 218 nucleotides long. RefSeq lists it as uncharacterized. The record is from RefSeq and is a predicted model, not a curated record. NCBI's taxonomy places the organism in Eukaryota, Metazoa, Arthropoda, Insecta, Lepidoptera, Tortricidae. The transcript is spliced from 3 exons.